CAGAGAAAGGGAGAAACAGAUUAAGGGAGAGAAAGUGAAUACAGCGAGGAAGAAAAUUUUACAUAUAUACAUACACUCAUAUACAUUAAUUUAUGCAUACUAGUUGGCUAUAUAUAUAUUUGUGCAUUCUUUUCUAUACGUAGAAGAUUGGAAGAUGAAGCUGAGAAAACAUCUCAGCAUGCACAAUUAAAAAAAAAAUGAAUGAAAAUAGAAGAAACUUAAGAUUAUGAGAGCAACCCAUGAAGUCCAACAUCUGAAAAAUGAGAGUUACAGAAGAAAAAAUGGACAAAAGAGACAUGGAGAUCAAAUUAUCAAAGCAAUUAUACAUUUUCCCAUAAUUGAAUGACAUGACUUUGCAGGUUAAAAGGCUCACCAACUGUCUGUUAUGAUAAUUAAAAUAUGACUCCACAACCAGUAAUGGAUUAAAUAUAUCCCUAAAUCUUCUAGUGAGAUAAAAGAGGUCAAAUACAAAGGAAAUAGGCUUUGAACUCCUUUACAGCAAGUUUGGAAAUAAGAAAACAAGGAAUGAAUGUUUGCAAAAUUUUAACAACUAAUCGUCUCCAACUUUGAAUUCUAUACACAGCCAUUGGACCAAACAAGGGGACAAAAUGGCAGCAGCCAGCCUGACCAUUCCCUUCCCAUCAUGAGGGAGAGGGCUGUGGUAUGGACAGCAGCAGCUGACUGGCCACAGGUGCAGCCACUGCCAUCCAGCCCCGACUCAUUCCUAGAAUAAGAACCACCAGACUGCCCUCUGACACCUGCCUCAGCGGUCCCCACCACUCCUCAAACCCUGUCACCGUCCACAGACAAGCCCUGGAGGGGUGGGGAAAAGUCUGCAAUUCUCCUUAAAAAGGAUUUCUGUCACAUGGCAAAAUGUUUUGUCAGAUAUCAGUUCUGGCCGUUGGUGACAGAGUCAUGGAAUAUAAAAAGACAUCGAGAAGAAAUAUGUGUGAUCUGGAAUCGUGACCUUACAAGUGCAUCUGCAACGUUGGCUGUGUUUGAGCAAGUGAAUCUAUAUGACUAGAAUUUUUUAAUUGAUACAUGACAUUUGUACAUAUUUAUGGGGUACCUGUGAUAUUUUGUUACAUGCAUAGAAUGUUGAAUAACCAAGUCAUGGUAUUCUGGGUAUGCAUCGCCUAGAGUAUUUACCGUUUCUAUGUGUUGGGGACAUUUCAAGUCCUCUCUCCUAGCUAUUUUGAAAUAUACAAUGCAUUGUUGUUAACUAUAGUCACACUAUUCUGCUGUCAAACAUCAGAACAUUUCUUCUAUCUAACUGUAUGUUUGUACCUAUUAACCAACCUUUCUCUUCAUCUUCCCUCAACCCACAUACCCUUGUUAGCCUCAGCUAUCUACUAUUCUAAUACCUACUUCCGUGAGAUCAACUGUUUUAGUUCCCACAAACAAGUGAGAACAUGCAGUAUUUCUCUUUCUAUGCCUGGCUUAUUUCACUUAAUAUAAUGACCUCUAG
This 1468-nucleotide long non-coding RNA is filed under the name Homo sapiens (human). RNAcentral describes it as "HSALNT0340344". Lineage: Eukaryota; Metazoa; Chordata; Mammalia; Primates; Hominidae. The record is from RNAcentral.